ACUCAAAUGAAUAGACGGGGACCCGCACAAGCGGUGGAGCAUGUGGUUUAAUUCGAGGCAACGCGAAGAACCUUACCAACCCUUGACAUGGGGAUUUCGGAUUACAGAGAUGUUUUCCUUCAGUUCGGCUGGGUCCCACACAGGUGCUGCAUGGCUGUCGUCAGCUCGUGUCGUGAGAUGUUGGGUUAAGUCCCGCAACGAGCGCAACCCUCAUCCAUAGUUGCCAUCAGGUAAUGCUGGGAACUCUAUGGAAACUGCCGGUUAUAAGCCGGAGGAAGGCGGGGAUGACGUCAAGUCAGAACGGCCCUUACGGGUUGGGCCACACACGUGCUACAAUGGCAGUGACAAUGGGUCGCAACUGCGCAAGCAGAAGCUAAUCUCAAAAAGCUGUCUCAGUUCGGAUUGUUCUCUGCAACUCGAGAGCAUGAAGUUGGAAUCGCUAGUAAUCGUAGAUCAGCACGCUACGGUGAAUACGUUCCCGGGUCUUGCACACACCGCCCGU
This 502-nucleotide ribosomal RNA is filed under the name uncultured bacterium. Its description in RNAcentral is "partial 16S ribosomal RNA". It matches the Rfam family "Bacterial small subunit ribosomal RNA", at positions 899 to 1397 of the family's 1533-position model. The record is from RNAcentral.